This 305-nucleotide ribosomal RNA is filed under the name uncultured bacterium. Its description in RNAcentral is "bacterial SSU rRNA". It matches the Rfam family "Bacterial small subunit ribosomal RNA", at positions 336 to 657 of the family's 1533-position model. The record is from RNAcentral.
CUCCUACGGGACGCAGCAGUCGGGAAUAUUGCGCAAUGGAGGAGACUCUGACGCAGUGACGCCGCGUGCAGGAAGAAGGUUUUCGGAUUGUAAACUGCUUUAGACAGGGAAGAAACAAGACAGUACCUGUAGAAUAAGCUCCGGCUAACUACGUGCCAGCAGCCGCGGUAAUACGUAGGGAGCAAGCGUUAUCCGGAUUUACUGGGUGUAAAGGGAGCGUAGACGGCUGUGCAAGUCUGAAGUGAAAGCCCAGGGCUCAACCCUGGGACUGCUUUGGAAACUGUGGAGCUAGAGUGCUGGAGAGG